RNAcentral lists this unclassified non-coding RNA (308 nucleotides) under uncultured Agaricales. Its description in RNAcentral is "sequence contains 5.8S rRNA gene, ITS2, 28S rRNA gene". The stretch from base 1 to 52 matches the Rfam family "5.8S ribosomal RNA", at positions 103 to 154 of the family's 154-position model. The record is from RNAcentral. Lineage: Eukaryota; Fungi; Basidiomycota; Agaricomycetes; Agaricales.
AACGCAUCUUGCGCUCCUUGGUAUUCCGAGGAGCAUGCCUGUUUGAGUGUCAUUAAAUUCUCAACUCUCUUAUACUGCUUUGUUCGUAUAGGAGAGCUUGGACUGUGGAGGUUUGCUGGCCGCUUGAUUGAGGUCAGCUCCUCUGAAAUGCAUUAGCGGAACCGUUUGCGAUCUGCCACAAGUGUGAUAAGUUAUCUACACUAGCGAGGGGAUUGCUCUCUGUGUCAUUCUGCUUCUAAUUGUCUCUUUGUGAGACUACUACUUGAAUACUUGACCUCAAAUCAGGUAGGACUACCCGCUGAACUUAA